UCGACUUUCUCUUCAAGGGGAUGAAGCUGGACGUGGAGGAGCUGCUCAAGUGCCCGGCCUACCUGAGCAAGAAGAGCAUGGAUAGAGUGAAGAUCCGGUGGAAGGUGCUGUCCUUGCUCAAGUCCAGAGGGAUCAUCCAAAGGAUCCAUCUCAAGGACAUGGUCACUUUACCCAGGAAAUGGUUCGUGGAGACCUUCGUGUUCAAGUAUCCCGAUUGUGGAAGGGUCGACUAUGGCGAACGAUCGGCGUUGAAGCAAGCUCGUGCGGAAGCUAGAGGGGAGAGAUCAACGUCAUACUACUAGUCACAGGUGCUCUUUACAAGCACUAGCAACGCAAGACAGGCUCACAUCUGACUUGUCUCCUUGCGAGUUGAGAGCUCUUCGUAUCUCGUAAGAUGAUGCUGUGUUCUUGUCCUGUUUGGAAUCAGAAUCGAAGUUAGCUGUGUGCUUCUUUUCA
This is a long non-coding RNA of Selaginella moellendorffii, 456 nucleotides long. RefSeq lists it as uncharacterized. Lineage: Eukaryota; Viridiplantae; Streptophyta; Lycopodiopsida; Selaginellales; Selaginellaceae. The record is from RefSeq and is a predicted model, not a curated record. The transcript has 3 exons.